This 207-nucleotide long non-coding RNA is filed under the name Elaeis guineensis (African oil palm). RNAcentral describes it as "long non-coding RNA (EGUI_LNC041098)". Lineage: Eukaryota; Viridiplantae; Streptophyta; Magnoliopsida; Arecales; Arecaceae. The record is from RNAcentral.
UGAUCGAAAAAUCAUAUCUGAAAAAUUAUUCAUUGAGGCUGUCAGACAUCGUCGAGUCAGUUCGGAUUGACUUCGAGUCGGCUCAAAUGAUAUUUUUCAAAAAUCCAACCUUCUGUUCAACUAAGAGAGCUAGCUCGGAUCACUCUUCAAGCUGGCUCAACAGCUUCUUCCAGAAAUCAACAUUCUAUUUUUUGAGAGAGCCAACUC